This 235-nucleotide ribosomal RNA is filed under the name uncultured bacterium. RNAcentral's name for it is "partial 16S ribosomal RNA". It matches the Rfam family "Bacterial small subunit ribosomal RNA", at positions 96 to 334 of the family's 1533-position model. The record is from RNAcentral.
UGGCGGACGGGUGAGUAAUGUCUGGGAAACUGCCCGAUGGAGGGGGAUAACUACUGGAAACGGUAGCUAAUACCGCAUAACGUCGCAAGACCAAAGAGGGGGACCUUAGGGCCUCUUGCCAUCGGAUGUGCCCAGAUGGGAUUAGCUAGUAGGUGGGGUAACGGCUCACCUAGGCGACGAUCCCUAGCUGGUCUGAGAGGAUAACCAGCCACACUGGAACUGAGACACGGUCCAG